This 301-nucleotide ribosomal RNA is filed under the name uncultured bacterium. RNAcentral describes it as "partial 16S ribosomal RNA". It matches the Rfam family "Bacterial small subunit ribosomal RNA", at positions 509 to 807 of the family's 1533-position model. The record is from RNAcentral.
CAGUCGCCGCGGUAAUACGAGGGGAGCUAGCGUUGUUCGGAAUUACUGGGCGUAAAGCGUGCGCAGGCGGUUGUGUAAGACAGGUGUGAAAUCCCCGGGCUUAACCUGGGAACUGCGCUUGUGACUGCACAGCUAGAGUAUGGCAGAGGGGGGUGGAAUUCCACGUGUAGCAGUGAAAUGCGUAGAGAUCGGAAGGAACAUCUGUGGCGAAGGCGACUAUCUGGGCCAACACUGACACUGAGGCACGAAAGCGUGGGGAGCAAACAGGAUUAGAUACCCCCGUAGUCCCUGUCUCUUAUAC